CGAUUCCCUUAGUAGCGGCGAGCGAAACGGGAAGAGCCCAAACCAACAAGCUUGCUUGUUGGGGUUGUAGGACACUCUAUACGGAGUUACAAAGGACGACAUUAGACGAAUCAUCUGGAAAGAUGAAUCAAAGAAGGUAAUAAUCCUGUAGUCGAAAAUGUUGUCUCUCUUGAGUGGAUCCUGAGUACGACGGAACACGUGAAAUUCCGUCGGAAUCUGGGAGGACCAUCUCCUAAGGCUAAAUACUCUCUAGUGACCGAUAGUGAACCAGUACCGUGAGGGAAAGGUGAAAAGCACCCCGGAAGGGGAGUGAAAUAGAACCUGAAACCGUGUGCUUACAAGUAGUCAGAGCCCGUUAAUGGGUGAUGGCGUGCCUUUUGUAGAAUGAACCGGCGAGUUACGAUUUGAUGCAAGGUUAAGCAGUAAAUGUGGAGCCGUAGCGAAAGCGAGUCUGAAUAGGGCGUUUAGUAUUUGGUCGUAGACCCGAAACCAGGUGAUCUACCCUUGGUCAGGUUGAAGUUCAGGUAACACUGAAUGGAGGACCGAACCGACUUACGUUGAAAAGUGAGCGGAUGAACUGAGGGUAGCGGAGAAAUUCCAAUCGAACCUGGAGAUAGCUGGUUCUCUCCGAAAUAGCUUUAGGGCUAGCCUCAAGUGAUGAUUAUUGGAGGUAGAGCACUGUUUGGACGAGGGGCCCCUCUCGGGUUACCGAAUUCAGACAAACUCCGAAUGCCAAUUAAUUUAACUUGGGAGUCAGAACAUGGGUGAUAAGGUCCGUGUUCGAAAGGGAAACAGCCCAGACCACCAGCUAAGGUCCCAAAAUAUAUGUUAAGUGGAAAAGGAUGUGGCGUUGCCCAGACAACUAGGAUGUUGGCUUAGAAGCAGCCAUCAUUUAAAGAGUGCGUAAUAGCUCACUAGUCGAGUGACACUGCGCCGAAAAUGUACCGGGGCUAAACAUAUUACCGAAGCUGUGGAUUGUCCUUUGGACAAUGGUAGGAGAGCGUUCUAAGGGCGUUGAAGCAUGAUCGUAAGGACAUGUGGAGCGCUUAGAAGUGAGAAUGCCGGUGUGAGUAGCGAAAGACGGGUGAGAAUCCCGUCCACCGAUUGACUAAGGUUUCCAGAGGAAGGCUCGUCCGCUCUGGGUUAGUCGGGUCCUAAGCUGAGGCCGACAGGCGUAGGCGAUGGAUAACAGGUUGAUAUUCCUGUACCACCUAUAAUCGUUUUA
Molecule: ribosomal RNA, 1225 nt
Filed under: Staphylococcus aureus
Lineage: Bacteria; Bacillati; Bacillota; Bacilli; Caryophanales; Staphylococcaceae
Description: partial 23S ribosomal RNA
Rfam family: Bacterial large subunit ribosomal RNA
Source: RNAcentral